UUCAAAUCUAGACAAACAAAAAGUACUAAUCCAAAAUAUGACAGUCACAACUUUUAAAAAUAAACUUAUAUUGUUCAAACUAUUGAAUAAUGUCUUCAAAUAAGUUUUGUUACUCUUCUUCGAACAAUGUCUUUGAAAUCACCCACAUAUGAAAUUUGCGAGCUUCAAAUUGUAUAACCUGAAAUAAAAAUGAAAUGUGUCAAUAGAUUGUUUUUUUUUAAUAUAGAAACACUCACGACACAUUUUUUCCCAAAAAAAUAACAAGGUAUGAUAUGCAAAUACUCGCAGCCAAAUGCCCUCUACUAGAAUACAUUUGGCUGUUUUAAGGGAAUGUAAGAACUAAAACUAAAAAUAGCUAUACUAUCUAAUCAUGUAAGUGGUCAUAGGAGAUCAUUUCCGCCCAACUCUAACAUCAGUCCAAUAAAUCCACGAAUCUGGAUGAAUAAGUGCCAGGCAAUACAGCACUUGAUUCCCAUAAUUCUGAAUCAACUAAACCACCUGUGAGAACCUACUUAUUACCAAAUCGGCCUUCUCUCCUGGUCAGCGGUCGCUAAUAUGAUUUUUGCUGUCCAACUGAUUUUCCAGCUCCAAAACUCAUUGCUGGAUCAAUCCCAGAGGUAAAACAGAGAUUUGAUCGUUUCUGGCCUUAGUAUGUUCCACGAUGUGCCUACAGUCAUAUCCUAGCCUUUAUUAAAGACAUAGUUUUCUCCUGCCAACUUUGUAGGUGUUGACUGGUAGAAGUUAUAGCAAGGCCAUUAAAGACCUUGAGUAAAUAUUCAUAAAAGUUGUCCCCCAUGGCCCCAAACGUUAUAGUGGAGUAUAAAACCACCUCUCCCUCUAGAUUAAUGUGUAUUGGAAGCAACCCAUCAUCUAGGAAAGUUCUACUAAUUUCUAAGAUGACAUUCUCCGCCUUUUGUUGAUACUUCGGGUCUCCUGUUCUUUGUGAAAGAGCAAUAAAUUCAAGCUGCUAAGAGGCAGAAUCUGCCAGGAUACUAUGACCCCCAGUCCACCCAUGAUUAUGUGGAUUCCCAUGUGACAAGUUGAUAAUGUUGCAAGGGAUACUUUGGUGGGAAAAAUUCAGCAACACUAUGCCUAAGGUGGAGAUGAUCAUGAGUAAAAAACCAAGUAGCAGCAGAUCAUGAGUAAAAAACCAAGUAGCAGACUGGAACUCAAGGGACAGGAAAAUAAAAGAGUACUGAAGCUCUAUCUCACACCCAAGAGGAAGAAAACACACAACAUGAAGAACAAUAGCAAGUACCAAAAAGAAAACAAGUCAAAAACCAAGUAGCAGCAGAUCAGAGUGCUGAUGGAGGAAAGAUUGCAACUUCAAGUCAACACAAGAAAGGACUUCACAAAAUAAUUCUACCAUGGACAACACUAAAGUUAUGCAACAACAGAGAGGAAUUCUACGAGAUUAAACUAACACAAUUAAAGUCUAUAACAAUGAAUCAAGAACGAAAGAAAAGACAACCAAGACUACGACUGAACAGUGAAGAAACAUAAAUGUACAGCCUACUAGUCUUCUAUGUUCGUGUUGCCAAAACAAGUCUUGAAGGGCAUAACAUAAGUAUGUAGAAAAUUCAUAUGGUCUGGAAAAGUGAAUACAAAUAGAGCUCCAUUAGUGGCAUGGGACUUGGUGUGUCGGACCAAAAAAGGAGGACUGGGAAUCACUGAAUGUGUGAUAUGGAACAAGGCUGCGGUAGAAAAAUACGUGUGGAACAUUGCUCAAAAAGCUGAUAAUCUAUGGGUGCGAUGGGUGGAUCAUGUCUACAUAAAGGGCACAGACUGGUGGCAAUAUGCUAUUCCACAUGAUAGUUGUUGGUAUUGGAAAAAGAUCUGUCGUAUAAGAGAUAAAUUUGCACCAGGAUACAACCAAAAUGGAUCACUUAAACCUGAGGGCAAAUACAUGAUAGCAAGCAGGUAUACAUGGAGAAGAGGCGAGCUAGAAGAGUGGACGUGGAACAGGUGGAUUUGGUGUAAGGAAAUUCUUCCUAACCACAUCUUUAUUUGUUGGUUAGCCCUUCAUGAAAGAUUACUUGCCAAAGAGAGGCUCUAUAGAAUGGGGAUCUGCCACGAUGAUAAAUGCCAACUAUGUGGAGAUGUACCAGAAAUAGUGGAGCACAUUUAUUUUGACUGUCCGUUCUCAAUAAGAUGCAGCAUAAGAAGAAAAAUCUCAAUUCUUUGAAGGUGGUCGAAUGAAGCAAUUGUAAACCGUGGGUCUCUGCAGGUUGUACCAACAGAAGAAUAAAUGGAAAUGUUCCUACAUUACCAGCUUUAUUCUCUUUGUUGUGCUUAUAUAUAGUGAAGACAGUUUUGUGUAUAGUAAUACCUGUACAGUAAAAGCAUUCAAAAUCGAAACAAAAAAACAUAAAUGUACAGCUAGUGCAUUCAAAAUCGAAACCAAACGAACAUCAAAUAAACUCGAGCAAAACAAGACAGAGAUUCAGCUAGCUUUUAGAACAAGAUUAGGUCACAUCGAAGCCAAGAAACUGAUUCAGAAUAGCAUUUCAACAUUUCGGGUACAACAGGUCACAUCCAAAAUAAUUGAGUUCACAUGUUCUCCUGAUUAUGGAAUCUACAGACAUUCAUUGUUGAAGGGUAUAAUCGAUCAGUUAUAUCUUUUCCUGUACAAAUUUGGGAACUAAUGCAAUUAAGGCAUCUUAAGCUGGCCGAUUUAUUUUGCUAAAUCCCCUAAGUGUAUCUGUUGAUGGUGCCUUUUCAAAUAUAAAAACUAUUUCUUACUUGUCUCCAAGUUGUUGCACGAAGGAGGUUAUUUCGGGGAUUCAGAAUGUUAAGAAGUUAGGAAUCAAAGGAUGUUAUCGAAAUUAUGGAUUUCUUGGCAAUCUGUAUCAACUUGAAACAUUGAGUUUAAAAGGAGCUUGUCCAAGUACAAAAGCUUUACCAGGAAUGCUCAUGAAGUUGAAGUUGAAGUUGAAAGAAACUUAUAGAAGUUGGUCCUACUUGGACAUCAUAGCUGAGUUGCCUAACCUUGAGGUGCUUAAGCUCAUGUAUACAUCUUGUUGUGGCAAAGAAUGGUAUCCAAUUGAUACGGGAUUUACUCUAUUAAAGUGUUUGCUAAUUCAAGGUAAUGAUCUCAAGUACUAGAAAGCUACAAAUGAUAAUUUUCCUGUCCUUGAACGACUCGUGAUUAGAGGUUGCUCUCAUUUGAAAGAGAUACCCUAAGUUGCUGUCCUUGACCAUACUACAGAUUAGUUAAUAAAACAUAAGUUGCUCGACUCUAAAUUAUGAGACAUUAUGUGGAAAACUUACAAGUUAUUCCGAGGGGAGAAUAUUGAUCAAGAAGAGAAUCUCAAAAGGAGAUGAAAGGAAAAUCAGCUAACUUAGAAGUUUCUAUAUACAAGCUUGAGUUUUAGUCGAUGUAACUAAUUUCUAAAAACAGAGGUGCUACAGGUGAUGUUUUAAUGUUCUUCAAGUUUAAAAGUCACUUAAGGAUUGUGAGGAAGCUAGAAAUUUUCUGAAGUCUAUCAAUCAAUAAAAAACUAUUACCAUCUCGAUAAAAAGAAUUGCAACUGAUAUAGUGUCCUUAUUAAUUUGCAAAUGUCCAACAAUCUGUCAAAGAGAAUGAACUCGCAAUCUUUCCAAUAACAUGUCAAAAUAAAUGGCAAAUUCACUAUCCGAACAGAUUUUCAAAACAAAGAGACAUGGAUCAGUAGUAAUAGAACUAGUCGUCAUUAGAAACUCUUGUUCGAGCUUUAGUCGAUGUAACUGGAGAACAACAAAUUCAUCGAGUUUUAGUUGUUGCCCAGUUAUAUAUGAAAAUAAAAAGCUUGAUAACAAUUUUACCCAUGAGACACAUUAGUUAUUGCAUUCGAGAUUACAAACUCUUAAAUGUCAAACAUGAUGGCCAGAUAAAAAACAAAACAUGAUCAAAGCAUCUACAAAUUCGAUAUUUGUAACGUGUUUAUAGUUGAGAGACAUUGAAGAAAACUUUAAUUGAUAAAUAGAGAGAUGCAAUAGUUCAAGAGAAGUAAACAUUGGCUUCGGCAUUACAAUGGAAGAACUAACUGAACAGUUCACAUCUACCUAAAAUAAGCUUCUUAUGGCUGAUGUUUCAAGAAUUUAUAAUCGCUAACAUGAAUCUAAAAACAGAAAGCUCAUGGAGUCAAAACAGGGUGUCUAUAUAAUCGCUAAACUUGAUAAUUUCAAAGAAGAGAUCUUAACUCGUAGUCAAAACGGCCAGAGUUCACGAACACAAAAAAACAUACUUUUACAAAUCAAAUAGCUUGGAAAUCACAAUUAACGCCUGAAAAUUGAUCAAUUCGUCACGCUUGUUUUCUGUUUCCUUCCCAGUUAAUGCUUAAUAUUGAUUAUUGAACAUUAUAUAAAAUAUAAUACAAGGAUGAAUUCUCAAUGACCAUAUGCAGAGCAACAAAGUUAUAAAACAUCGGAGUUGAGAAGAGAGAUCUACAUACCUUGAAACUUCUGAAAAGAUUGUUAUUGCUGGACUUCGCUAUCGUGAGAAAAAUAUAUGCUAUUGGAUGUCGUUGUUGUGAGAGAUAUAUAUGCCUUAUGUGUGUCCUAAUAUGAUGAAUUAGGUUGGGGAAUCCUUAUUUGUUGGGAGAUCUUUUUAGUAAUAUUUUCCUUAUUUGUGUAGGAGAGCUUUUUAGGUUAGCAAUG
RNAcentral lists this long non-coding RNA (4638 nucleotides) under Solanum tuberosum (potato). RNAcentral's name for it is "long non-coding RNA (STUB_LNC001711)". Lineage: Eukaryota; Viridiplantae; Streptophyta; Magnoliopsida; Solanales; Solanaceae. The record is from RNAcentral.